UUGGAGGGCAAGUCUGGUGCCAGCAGCCGCGGUAAUUCCAGCUCCAAUAGCGUAUAUUAAAGUUGCUGCAGUUAAAAAGCUCGUAGUUGAAUUUCGGGACCAAUAUGUCGGUCGUGCCUCGGUACGUACUGGCAUCGUUGGUUUCUCCCUUCUGACGAACCAUGAUGUCAUUUAUUUGGUGUCGUGGGGAAUCAGGACUGUUACUUUGAAAAAAUUAGAGUGUUUAAAGCAGGCUCACGCUUGAAUACAUUAGUAUGGAAUAAUGAAAUAGGACGUUUGAUUCUAUUUUGUUGGUUUCUAGGAUCGACGUAAUGAUUAAUAGGGAUAGUUGGGGGCAUUAGUAUUCAAUUGUCAGAGGUGAAAUUCUUGGAUUUAUUGAAGACUAACUACUGCGAAAGCAUUUGCCAAGGAUGUUUUCAUUAAUCAAGAACGAAAGUUAGGGGAUCGAAGACGAUCAGAUACCGUCGUAGUCUUAACCAUAAACUAUGCCGACUAGGGAUCGGAUGAUGUUAAUUUUUUAAUGACUCAUUCGGCGCCUUACGGGAAACCAAAGUGUUUGGGUUC
RNAcentral lists this ribosomal RNA (564 nucleotides) under uncultured Glomeromycotina. RNAcentral describes it as "SSU rRNA". It matches the Rfam family "Eukaryotic small subunit ribosomal RNA", at positions 548 to 1114 of the family's 1831-position model. Lineage: Eukaryota; Fungi; Glomeromycota. The record is from RNAcentral.